This 148-nucleotide non-coding RNA is filed under the name Pan troglodytes (chimpanzee). Lineage: Eukaryota; Metazoa; Chordata; Mammalia; Primates; Hominidae. The record is from Rfam by way of RNAcentral.
GCUGGGCGUGGUGGCGGGCGCCUGUAAUCCCAGCUACUCAGGAGGCUGAGGCAGGAGAAUUGCUUGAACCCGGGAGGCGGAGGUUGCAGUGAGCCGAGAUUGCGCCACUGCACUCCAGCCUGGGUGACAGAGCAAGACUCUGUCUAAA